Molecule: ribosomal RNA, 891 nt
Filed under: uncultured Bacteroidota bacterium
Lineage: Bacteria; Pseudomonadati; Bacteroidota
Description: bacterial SSU rRNA
Rfam family: Bacterial small subunit ribosomal RNA
Source: RNAcentral
UUUGAUUCUGGCUCAGGAUGAACGCUAGCUACAGGCUUAACACAUGCAAGUCGAGGGGAAACGAUAUUGGAAGCUUGCUUCCGGUAGGCGUCGACCGGCGCACGGGUGAGUAACGCGUAUCCAACCUGCCCAUCACUUGGGGAUAACCUUGCGAAAGUAAGACUAAUACCCAAUGAUAUCUCUAGAAGACAUCUGAAGGAGAUUAAAGAUUUAUCGGUGAUGGAUGGGGAUGCGUCUGAUUAGCUUGUUGGCGGGGUAACGGCCCACCAAAGCGACGAUCAGUGGGGGUUCUGAGAGGAAGGUCCCCCACAUUGGAACUGAGACACGGUCCAAACUCCUACGGGAGGCAGCAGUGAGGAAUAUUGGUCAAUGGGCGAGAGCCUGAACCAGCCAAGUAGCGUGCAGGAUGACGGCCCUAUGGGUUGUAAACUGCUUUUAUAAGGGAAUAAAGUGAGAGUCGUGACUCUUUUUGCAUGUACCUUAUGAAUAAGGACCGGCUAAUUCCGUGCCAGCAGCCGCGGUAAUACGGAAGGUCCGGGCGUUAUCCGGAUUUAUUGGGUUUAAAGGGAGCGUAGGCCGGAGAUUAAGCGUGUUGUGAAAUGUAGAUGCUCAACAUCUGCACUGCAGCGCGAACUGGUUUCCUUGAGUACGCACAAAGUGGGCGGAAUUCGUGGUGUAGCGGUGAAAUGCUUAGAUAUCACGAAGAACUCCGAUUGCGAAGGCAGCUCACUGGAGCGCAACUGACGCUGAAGCUCGAAAGUGCGGGUAUCGAACAGGAUUAGAUACCCUGGUAGUCCGCACGGUAAACGAUGGAUGCCCGCUGUUGGUCUGAAUAGGUCAGCGGCCAAGCGAAAGCAUUAAGCAUCCCACCUGGGGAGUACGCCGGCAACG